UCCUACGGGAGGCAGCAGUGAGGAAUAUUGGUCAAUGGGCGGGAGCCUGAACCAGCCAAGUAGCGUGAAGGAUGACUGCCCUACGGGUUGUAAACUUCUUUUGUUUGGGAAUAAAAGACGCUACGUGUAGCGUUGUGCAUGUACCUUACGAAUAAGCAUCGGCUAAUUCCGUGCCAGCAGCCGCGGUAAU
RNAcentral lists this ribosomal RNA (190 nucleotides) under uncultured bacterium. Its description in RNAcentral is "partial 16S ribosomal RNA". It matches the Rfam family "Bacterial small subunit ribosomal RNA", at positions 337 to 524 of the family's 1533-position model. The record is from RNAcentral.